GCCUAACACAUGCAAGUCGAACGAGAAGCCUGAUUCGAUUAGGUGGAGAGUGGCGCACGGGGUGAGUAACACAUGGCUGACCUGCCCUUCAGAGGGGGACAACCACCGGAAACGGUGGCUAAUACCCCAUACGCUCGCCGUGAUUAGCAGGCGGUGAGGAAACCUUCGGGGCUGAGGGAGGGGGCUGUGGCCCAUCAGCUAGUUGGUAGGGUAACGGCCUACCAAGGCAAAGACGGGUAGGGGGCCUGAGAGGGUGACCCCCCACACGGGCACUGAGACACGGGCCCGACUUCUACGGAAGGCAGCAGUGAGGGAUAUUGCCCAAUGGACGGAAGUCUGAGGCAGCAACGCCGCGUGCGGGAUGAAGGCCUUCGGGUUGUAAACCGCUUUUCUGCGCGAAGAGGACGGACGGUAGCGCAGGAAGAAGUCUCGGCUAACUACGUGCCAGCAGCCGCGGUAAAACGUAGGAGGCGAGCGUUAUCCGGAUUUACUGGGUGUAAAGCGCGUGCAGGCGGUCAUGUAAGUGGUGCGUGAAAGCGCCCGGCUCAACCGGGCGAGGCCGUGCCAAACUGCGUGACUGGAGGCAGGUAGAGGCGCGUGGAAUUCCGGGUGUAGUGGUGAACUGCGUAGAUAUCCGGAGGAACACCAGUGGCGAAGGCGGCGCGCUGGGCCUGACCUGACGCUAAGACGCGAAAGCAUGGGGAGCGAACGGGAUUAGAAACCCCGGUAGUCCAUGCUGUAAACGCUGCAGACUAGGUGUUGCGUGCGACGAGUAUGCAGUGCCGAAGCCAACGUGAUAAGUCUGCCACCUGGGGACU
Molecule: ribosomal RNA, 818 nt
Filed under: uncultured organism
Description: bacterial SSU rRNA
Rfam family: Bacterial small subunit ribosomal RNA
Source: RNAcentral